This is a non-coding RNA of Prunus avium (sweet cherry), 548 nucleotides long. Lineage: Eukaryota; Viridiplantae; Streptophyta; Magnoliopsida; Rosales; Rosaceae. The record is from RefSeq and is a predicted model, not a curated record.
UGUUGGUACUAAAACUAAACAGAUAGAAAUUAAAGCAACUUACAGGUAAUGUGGACGGUCUAAAGACCGUUUGGGCCUUUAGGUAUGAGUGCGUUCUUCCUUGAGAUGCCGAAUCUGAAUCAAGGAGAGAGAUGACAGGUGAGGUCUAGAGUACUGGUGUGGUACCAGCCGAAGACCCUCCGAUGCCAAAGCAGGGUAUUCAAGGUUGUCCCGCAGAAUCGCCAGGGCAUGCCAAUCGCAUGCUUGAGGAUCGUUCGGUAUCUGGUACAGAUGAUCCGUUCGGUGAGGCGCUAGAGGGAAGGCUCGAUGAUUGAAUCGGUAGUAGACGCCGAUUCGCACUUGAAUGAUCUACCGUCGUUCUUUGUCCACGCGUCAUAGUGCGAGUGGAGGGUCAGAUAUGGUACAAACAAAGGCUUUGUCUGCAUUAUGGUUGCUGGGAGGAUUCUAGCUUGGCUUGGGUGGCUGGCUUCGGCUUUCUGUUUGUCUUUAUUUUUUCUUUCUGACAUUUUUGCUUCUGCUUAUCCUGCAAGAAUUCUCUGGUGAGGAAA